Molecule: ribosomal RNA, 308 nt
Filed under: uncultured Helotiales
Lineage: Eukaryota; Fungi; Ascomycota; Leotiomycetes; Helotiales
Description: partial large subunit ribosomal RNA
Rfam family: Eukaryotic large subunit ribosomal RNA
Source: RNAcentral
AUAUCAAUAAGCGGAGGAAAAGAAACCAACAGGGAUUGCCUUAGUAACGGCGAGUGAAGCGGCAACAGCUCAAAUUUGAAAUCUGCCUCUAGGCCGAGUUGUAAUUUGUAGAAGAUGCUUCGGGUGUGGCACCGGUCUAAGUUCCUUGGAACAGGACGUCAUAGAGGGUGAGGGUCCCGUCUAGAACCGAUAGCCGCGUCCAUGUGAAACUCCUUCGACGAGUCGAGUUGUUUGGGAAUGCAGCUCAAAAUGGGUGGUAAAUUUCAUCUAAAGCUAAAUAUUGGCCAGAGACCGAUAGCGCACAAGUA